AAAUUGAAGAGUUUGAUCAUGGCUCAGAUUGAACGCUGGCGGCAGGCCUAACACAUGCAAGUCGAACGGUAACAGGAAGCAGCUUGCUGUUUCGCUGACGAGUGGCGGACGGGUGAGUAAUGUCUGGGAAACUGCCUGAUGGAGGGGGAUAACUACUGGAAACGGUAGCUAAUACCGCAUAACGUCG
Molecule: ribosomal RNA, 187 nt
Filed under: Escherichia coli
Lineage: Bacteria; Pseudomonadati; Pseudomonadota; Gammaproteobacteria; Enterobacterales; Enterobacteriaceae
Also listed under: 1 other name
Description: partial 16S ribosomal RNA
Rfam family: Bacterial small subunit ribosomal RNA
Source: RNAcentral